CCUACGGGAGGCAGCAGUGGGGAAUAUUGCACAAUGGGGGGAAACCCUGAUGCAGCGACGCCGCGUGAGUGAAGAAGUAUUUCGGUAUGUAAAGCUCUAUCAGCAGGGACGAAUAAAUGACGGUACCUGACUAAGAAGCCCCGGCUAACUACGUGCCAGCAGCCGCGGUAAU
Molecule: ribosomal RNA, 172 nt
Filed under: uncultured bacterium
Lineage: Bacteria
Description: partial 16S ribosomal RNA
Rfam family: Bacterial small subunit ribosomal RNA
Source: RNAcentral